UGGGGAAUAUUGCACAAUGGGGGGAACCCUGAUGCAGCGACGCCGCGUGAGGGAAGAAGGUUUUCGGAUUGUAAACCUCUGUCCUUGGUGAAGAAGAUGACUGUAGCCAAGGAGGAAGCCACGGCUAACUACGUGCCAGCAGCCGCGGUAAUACGUAGGUGGCAAGCGUUGUCCGGAAUUACUGGGUGUAAAGGGAGCGUAGGCGGGAAUGCAAGUUGAAUGUUAAAACUACAGGCUCAACCUGUAGUCGCGUUCAAAACUGUAUUUCUUGAGUGAAGUAGAGGUAGGCGGAAUUCCUAGUGUAGCGGUGAAAUGCGUAAAUAUUAGGAGGAACACCAGUGGCGAAGGCGGCCUACUGGGCUUUAACUGACGCUGAGGCUCGAAAGCGUGGGUAGCAAACA
RNAcentral lists this ribosomal RNA (401 nucleotides) under uncultured Bacillota bacterium. Its description in RNAcentral is "bacterial SSU rRNA". It matches the Rfam family "Bacterial small subunit ribosomal RNA", at positions 355 to 774 of the family's 1533-position model. Lineage: Bacteria; Bacillati; Bacillota. The record is from RNAcentral.